UACGGGGGGGGCAAGCGUUGUUCGGAAUUACUGGGCGUAAAGGGCUCGUAGGCGGCCAACUAAGUCAGACGUGAAAUCCCUCGGCUUAACCGGGGAACUGCGUCUGAUACUGGAUGGCUUGAGUUUGGGAGAGGGAUGCGGAAUUCCAGGUGUAACGAUGAAAUGCGCAGAUAUCUGGAGGAACACCGGUGGCGAAGGCGGCAUCCUGGACCAACACUGACGCUGAGUGAGCGAAAGCAUGGGGAGCGAACAGG
Molecule: ribosomal RNA, 254 nt
Filed under: uncultured bacterium
Lineage: Bacteria
Description: partial 16S ribosomal RNA
Rfam family: Bacterial small subunit ribosomal RNA
Source: RNAcentral